Molecule: long non-coding RNA, 1115 nt
Organism: Mesocricetus auratus (golden hamster)
Lineage: Eukaryota; Metazoa; Chordata; Mammalia; Rodentia; Cricetidae
Exons: 4
Source: RefSeq, a predicted model, not a curated record
AGCAUUUCUCAAUCCACCCUCCCCCUCCCAGGUACGGGCAAAGUCAGCUGGAUCCUUCCGGAGCCCCACAAAGACGGGUUCCUACAGAUGGCCCCACAUCAUGGGUCUACUACGCACAUGAGCACUUUUCAUACACCUUUUUGCUACCCGUGUCUCCUCCGAUGGAAGCACUGUGCUGGUUUUCUUACUGAGUUGUGUUCUUUAUAUAGAAGGGACCAGACUCUCACCCAGACCCCUGCUUUGGCAGCCAUGACAGGCUGCAGAAAAGACCCAGAAAGAGUUGCUUUGAUCAUUCUAGGACCCUUGCGUUUCUGUGUGGCUUAGAACCAAUGCAUCCCUUCCAGGAGACUAAGAAUGGAGAAGAUGUGAGGUUGGCGCUGGGUUUGAAUGAGAACCGUCCCUCAUAGGCCCGGGUAUUUGAAGCCUUGGUCUCCAGUUGGUGGUGCUCCUUGUGAAGUUAUGGAACCUGUAGGGGUCACACCCUUGCAUCACCGGCAGGAGGAGGGAAGCCAACUUUGAGUUUUCUGACUGGACACUGUGUCCUGUUCUAUUUCCCCUGCCUUCCACGUGGGGGUGAAAUGUGACCCCCUCUCUGUUUCCUCAGUGCCAAGCUGAGAACUCUGUCCCUCUGAAACUCAGAGCCAAAAUGAAACUGCUUCCUCCUCAGCUGCUUGCCUCUGAGCAUUUUUUAUCCAAGCAGCAGAAAGGUAACUGGUAGAUCUUGUGUGAUGGUAUGUCUCCAGUGACCGCUCGACUAGACCUGGAAUUGCCUAGAUAAGCCACUGGGCCUCUCCAUGGGGUUUUCUCAGUCAGGUUAUCUGAAGGGAGAAGAGGCACCCUAAACACGGCUGGCACCUUCUGGCUGUGAGAAGCUCUGCUUUUGACUGCUUGCCCUUGUUGCUCUGGCAAGCUCACCCGCUCUCCACAUCCCGCUGUGAAAUCGUCUCUGGUGCCGCGUCCUUGGGUCCGGCUUCUUCUGCUGUCCGAGGUGGACAGUGUUAUUCUGCAGGUGUCCUCCGGGUCUGCAGCAGCAGACCAGACCUGCUGAGACAUCCGGUCUUCCCAGGCCCCUGUAAUGUGAAGACUGGCCACGGUGCAUGUGUGCAAAUCUAAUA